Long non-coding RNA from Calliphora vicina (urban bluebottle blowfly), 426 nucleotides. RefSeq lists it as uncharacterized. The record is from RefSeq and is a predicted model, not a curated record. The transcript is spliced from 2 exons. NCBI's taxonomy places the organism in Eukaryota, Metazoa, Arthropoda, Insecta, Diptera, Calliphoridae.
AUAGUUAUUAAUCGUUAAAAGGCAAUUCAAUCGUACAUUAAGAUGAAUUUUUCAUUGAAAAAUUUAGCUUAUUGCUGCUUAAUCCUUUUAAGUUUAACAUUUAUCAGUGCCAGAGUUAUUAAUUUCUAUACAUGUGGUGAUAUUUGUACCGAGGAUUUUGAUCCUUAUUGUGUGAUGUUUGUAAAUGGUACCGUAGCACAGUUUGUCAACGAAUGUAAACUAAAUGUAUAUAGUUGUAACAGACGUUAUGUAGAUAUCUUGAAAAGCAGAAGUGGAGCUUGCAAUUACUAUUAUGGAUAAGAGGUGUCCGAAUGCAGGGGAAAAUUAAUAAGUUGUGAAACCGUUAAUAUGUCUUAAAAGUUGUAAAAUUAUAAAUUAUGUAAAUUUUUAAAGGUGAAAAAAAAUAUUGUGAAAACUAAAAAAUAA